Molecule: unclassified non-coding RNA, 4823 nt
Organism: Vespa mandarinia (Asian giant hornet)
Lineage: Eukaryota; Metazoa; Arthropoda; Insecta; Hymenoptera; Vespidae
Source: RefSeq, a predicted model, not a curated record
UGGUGGUGGUGGUGGUGGAUGUGGUGGUGGUGGUGGUGCGGCGGUGUCGAGGUGCGCCUGUUCGGCGAAUGUUUCUCUCGGGCGGUCGUUGCUAUGUAGUACCGGCGUAAAUGAAGCGGCGGCGUAUAGCGCGCUCGCGUGCUAAGGGGGUACCGCCUGCGGGGGCGAUGAGAAUGGCGCGCAAAUGUUGCGUGCCCAACUGCAAGAUCGACGUUCAGGAGGCACGCACCAAGGGUCUGCCGCUUCAUAAAUUUCCGAAGGACGCUGUACUUAGAGGCAGGUGGUUGACGAGCGGUGGUUUCGAGACGAGAUUCAAGCCGACGCCCGGUCAAGUCGUCUGCCACAGACAUUUUAAACGUGCCGACUACGAAGCCGCCAAUAAAACUAACAAGCUAGCAUUGAAGAAAGGCAGCGUUCCCUCGGUCUUUGCGAACUAUGACAACCAUCCAGAUCCAGUAAUCAUGUCAGUAAAGACCUCUACUUCUUAUGCGCAAGAAGAUCUGGAUUUAAUUAAUGCGGAAAUUUUAAAUAUGAGACAUUCUCCUUUAAUAUCCGAAGAUAGAACUCCAAAGUCUGACAGUUGCGGUGAAACCUGUUAUUCCAGACCAGAAUCAUCUGCCGAUUCAAUUAAUUUAUUGGAGACGUCUGAUUUAAUGGACCAGAGAUGCAAGUUAUCUGCGGGAAGGAAUUCGAGUAUUAUAAAAGAAGGAACUCUUAAUGGCACAGAAAUAAAAGCAAACAAUAUGGCGAUUCAGUCGGGUAUAGUUGAAUCUGAGAAAAAGGUGCAACAUGUUUCCAAAGAUGUAAACCCGAAAACAGAAGUAAAUGGCUUUAAAAAAGCAAAUGAGAAAGAAUUUGACAAGGGAAACAAUGUGAAAAGCAAAACGUUAAAUCGUGAUAGUUUAAAAUUCUUCCCUGGUGCCAAAUUGGAAGCAAAGGACUUCAACGAAAAGUGGUAUUCUGCUAAAGUAGUGGAAACAGAUUGGGUAGAGAGAGAAGUAUUGAUACAUUUUCAUAAGUGGAGUGCAAGAUUUGAUGAGUGGAUACCAAUGGAUAGUUCGAGACUACGUGUAUUACAAACAGAAACAAACGAGCAAUCUUGGGUGCAGCCAUCUUCGGAGACGAAUAUGAAAGAGUUCUCGGUCGGAGAAAGGAUCUUAGCUACGUGGGCGGAUGGCAGAAAAUAUCCCGCUAAAGUAAACGCCGUCUUAGGGAAUGACAGGUAUGAUGUGCUCUUUGAUGAUGGAUAUGCAAAGAUUGUCAGAUCCUCGAAGAUGACUAAAAUUGCCACUCCGCCCGAAACGCAAGCAGUUAAAGAAGACGGAUACAUAGGAAGUAAACAAGAGAGGAGGGACAAGAAAAGAAAGCAUACAGUUAUGGAGCUUUUCCAUACUCAUUCUAGGAAACGUUCCAAAAAUGAAAGUGAUAAAACAAUAAAGAAAGAAGAAUCCGUUGUUCGAAAUAACGUAGAAAGUUUCCCAGAACCUAAGAUUGAUUUGGAUGGUACCCUAUUUGGGCCCUGCUAUGAUCCUGGUACUGAUUUAUUAAAAGGAUUUAAUGCAAAUGUGCCUAAAACGAAAUCAUUACCGAAAAAGGCCAAAAAAGAAACGCAUAAAUCUGACACGGAGCAAGAAGAAUAUGUUGGUCCAGCAUGGGUUGAUGGUGAACCGCAAGGAAUUGAAUCUUACAUUGUAGAUGGAAACGAUGGGCCACGCCGUUCUAUUAUUGUACCUGAUAAAAGAUUACCACCGGGCUGGCAGAAGCACUUUACUCAAAGAAAAGCUGGCACGUCUGCGGGAAAAUGGGAUGUUUUAUUUAUACAUAAAUCGAGCGGAAAGAAAUUUAGAUCAAGGAACGAUAUUAGGACGUUUAUGGAAAGCCAAGGACAGUUUGACUUUGAUCCGGAGAAAUUUGACUUUUGUAUUCACCGUAAGAAAAAGAAUCACGGACAAAAGUUAAAGCAAGAUGUUCCUACGCCAGAAAUACCAAAGAAGAUAAAAACAUUGUUGCCUAAAGUAAAAACGCCAACUUCUAAUGAAACUACAUUACUUAUGUCAAUUAACACGACGCCCGUUAAUACACCAGUUGCAUCCGCAGGAACUACUGGAACUUCUGUUAAUAACGGCGGAAUGAUUUAUUCAGCCGUUUUCAUCGGCGGUCUUCGAGUGGAGAUGGAAGAUAGUGCUUAUAAAUGUCCUAAACAAGGAUGUAAUAAAACUUUUCGGAAAGAAAAUCUUUUGCAAAUGCACAUAAAACAUUAUCAUCCUGAAUAUUCGAAAUUUUUGGGAUCCACACCAAAUGUUGCAGAUUUGGCAUAUGCAAGAACGAUCGGGGAGUCUAUUGACGACAUUAUUCCAAAGAAAUCAACUCCUUUAUUGGAAAAAAUUCAUAAAUUUGGGAAAAAGAAGGCUCAAGAAAGAUCACCAGUGCCCACGUCGCAAUUAAGAUUAAAUUUUGUACAGCCUUCUUCCCCAUCCGUAUCGUUACCAACGUUCGAGGAACGAGAAGAUGAAGUUGACCAAUUAGAGAAAGUAAAUGAACUUCAUAAAGAAGAUAUUAAAAUAGAAACCAUGUCACCUAUUUCAAGUCAUAGUAUUGAAAUAGAUGAGGAAGUUGAAAAAAGGAAAGAAAAUUCAUGUGCGAUGUCACCAGGGACACUGUUUGAUAUGAAAAUAAGAGAAGAGAAACCGGAGAAAGUUGGAAUUAAAACAUUAUUACCCGUCCGUCCACCUGUAACACCGGAAAUACAAAGGGUGGAUAGAUCGAAAUCUUUAGACGAUUCUAUGCAUAUUGAAAGGGGUAAAGGUCAGAGAAAACGUCAACUAUCGGAAUAUAGUUCUGAUGUACCGUCUAAAGGGAAAAGGCGACAUGGUAUGCAAGACAUUGUAGACGAUUAUGGAGAUCUAGAUGACAGUGCUGUAGAUGCAGAAGGCCCUACCGCUCUCAUAUAUAGAUACAGUCGUAGGAAAUCUGACUCCAAAAGCGAUGAAAAUAGUCAGAAUAGUCAACUUAAUGAUUCUCGCCUUGAGAAAGGCGACCCCUUUAAAGGGGAUUCUGCAAAAAGAGAUAAUAGUAAUGAUGCAGAAGAAAGCGAAGGAGUUAUGAUGAUGAUCAAUGGAGAAAUGGUAAAAGUGGAGCAGCUCCGACGAGAAGAAAUAAUUAAUUGUACCUGUGGCUAUAUGGAAGAAGAUGGUUUAAUGAUACAAUGUGACCUUUGUUUGUGUUGGCAACAUGGUCACUGUAAUGCCAUUGAAAAAGAAAAAGAUGUUCCAGAAAAGUAUGUUUGUUAUAUAUGCCGACACCCUUAUCGUGAACGGCCUUCAAAAAAAUAUUAUCACGAUCAAGAUUGGAUAAAGGAAGGCAAAUUGCCAAGCUUAUCUACUCGAACGAAGAAUCAAAAUGCAAUUAAUAAAAGAACUGCAAUAUUAAAGCGUUCGUACGAUUUAGUUGCGGCCUUACUGCAAAUGCAGCAAAUUCUCCAUAGUCUGAGGGUGAAAAUUAAUGUAGCUCAGAAAAAAGAUCAUCCGAAAUUAUAUCUUUGGGCUAAAAAUUGGGAAAAAUUGGAUGUACCCAAGCCUGAUAUGGAACCUGUUCCAAUAAUAGAAGUAAUGAAAAUGCCUAUAGAUUCUACCGACACAAGUUCUGAAACCUCUAGACGUACGGACAUAAAAAUAGAAACGAAAACGUCGGUAAAGGAUGAUCACGAUGACAAAUCUAUAGCUUCUGAUUCGGAAUUAAUGAAAAUUUUAGAAGAAGAUAGCUCGAAUUCAGAUGAAUCGAAAGUUAUGUGUAAAAAAGAGGAUACGAUAAAUUCAAACGGCGGUCAUAUAUUAUUAGACGCAUUAACAAGAAAUGGAAGUCCGGACGAAAAGCAGAAGUUAAAGCUUGAAAAUCCAAUAGAAAAUAUAAAUACAAAUGGUUCGGAAGAUAACAGAUCGAUCUCUGGAUUAUUUGGGGAUAAUAUUCAUGGUGAAACUAAUGUACCUGAAAUUGGACAGGAAUUGUCAACUCCAUUACAACCAUUUAUACCAGAACCAGAAGCACCAAUUGAUUCGGCCGAAUGUCGAAUGAGAUUACUGGAACAUAUCGAACAUUUCCAGAGUCACAUAGACUCGAGACUAGUAUCUAUAGAAGCUCAAGUUUGUGCUUUGGAAGCCAUGGAUCCUGACGAGAUAAUACCUAGUCCGGAUGUGCAACCUCGUACGAAGCAAACAGUACAAAUGUUGCUUAGAGAUUUGAAUACAGUUCGUAAAUUGGCUGCUUUAUGUUAAAGCAUUCGUUUGUACAAAUAUGAUGUCAUAAGAAUUACUUUUUCGUUGAAAGCGUAAUUGCACAAUAAAAUUGCUUUAACCAAUAUAUAGUUAUUAUAUAUAUAUAUAACGUUGCCGAGUGUCAGAAUCGAACAAAUGUGAUGUGAAAUACAAUUUAAGCUACAAUUUCAUAAAUUCGUACGUAAUACAUUAAUGUCGUUUUAUGUAUUUGCAUAUUUAAUAGAAAAGUAAAUUGUUAUGAUCAUAGAUCAAUAUAAAAAGAAAAAGAAAAAGAAACAAAUUAAGUUUCUAAUAUAAUUCUAAUAUAAUAACAUAAACGAUAAUAUAAUUAUGUUUAAUGAUGUUAAUUUCUACGGAAUUAAUUUCGUAUUUCUUACGACAAUUAUUGUAUCAUUCCGAUCGUAUUAUUAUUAUAUCGGAAGAAAUUACAGGAUAUUUUUUCAGGGUAAAUAUCAAAAUAUUUACAUGCAUAGUUGAAUAGAAAACAAUGUGAUCUUAACGCAUGGACAGAUAGAAAAUAAUUAAGUAAAAUAUUAUAUGAUUGUUACAUAA